Molecule: long non-coding RNA, 7562 nt
Organism: Lagopus muta (rock ptarmigan)
Lineage: Eukaryota; Metazoa; Chordata; Aves; Galliformes; Phasianidae
Exons: 2
Source: RefSeq, a predicted model, not a curated record
CAUUGCCUUAGUGAAUGCUAAAUAGGUCUAACCAGAUUGAAGAGGACCAGGUGGAGAGAUGGAUGACACCCAGCUUCAGUGGAAACUACAAAGAAAGGUGCAGAGGAAGAAGAUAAACUCCAGUCUUAGCUACUGAUUAGAAAAAAAAUAAUUAAAAAAAUCACCAGGAGCUCCUCUUUCAGCAGGAUUUUGUACGCUGACCAAACUGGUAUGAGACCCUGAACAUAUACCUGUUUAAGCCCCGAAUGUUUCUGAACAUGUGCAGAAAUGGAAAUUGAUGUGGAUGAGCUUCUGCCUUGAAGCAGAGACUGCUGGUGGACUUCAAGAUCUUUUGUGUUAGAUCUGGAGUACAUGGGGACUUUUCCAUACCUGACAUGCCCUCAGAUAAGACAACUAUAUAUUUAUUUAUCUAGAAUGUAGGUGAAGCCCAGGUAUGUAUACAAAUACGUUGAGAUAUAUAUUGAUAUAUAGAUAAGUAGAUAUACAGUAUAAAAAGUAUAUUAUACAUAUACAUUAUGUUUAAACCCAUUCCAAGGAGUCCAGUACUGUCCUCUUUUCCACAAUAGUUGCUUUAUAUUUAUUCUUUUACUGAAAUAGAAUGUGAGGGACUUCUGUUUGUAGAAGAAAAAGCAAACCACAAUUUUUUGGGAAACGUUUGUUGGGGAUUUUUUUGGUAAGUCAAAAUUUAAUAGAAAAUAGCAAAAAAAAAUAAAAAUAAAAAUAAAAAUCAUGGAAAAUACCAAGUCCCUGAUUACUCACAAGUUUUUGCUUCAUGAAAAUGUUUGCACAAUCUUUCAAUCUUUUUCAGAUCUGCGUAGACAUCCUCACACUUCAGAUGCCUGCAAAAUCUGCAGUGAAAUUUUGUACAUAAUGGUGUCAGUGUCUUGCAAGCAUCCUUCCUCCUCUACAAGCCACUUGGUUUCCUCUAGAACUUCACCACAGGCUGGUAGAUCUGCCAGUAUUUCCAAAGCAGUUUCAAAAUGACUCCAAAGGUGAUACUGAAGACAAUUGUGCCCAGCUGGGAUCAGAUUUUCAGAAGAUGUCUGAAAGAUGUUUGAAAAUCUUGUAUUUUCUGGUUUAAUUAGGUCAGCGCUAUUAACAUUCUGGCCCUUGGGUUAUUGUGUCUAUGAGUUAGGAGAAACAUUGAAAUAGUAGCAACAUCUUUCUCUGUGCUUUGUUGAUCACAUGCAACAAAUAUUUCACAAUAAUAAGAGCAUCUUUGCAGUGAGCUGCAUAAAUCAGCUGUACAGCCUUAGGCCUGGUGACUUUUCUUCUGUGUGGAACUGCUUAUUUUCUGUGCUUGCUCAUUUAAUUGUUUACUUCUACCAUCUAUUGUAUGCGAGAUACGUAGUCUCUGCUUACCAGAUACCUACCUGCAGUAUUUUGAACGCAAACAAUUCCCAACUUUGUGAGUCAUUAUUGGGGCUGAACUUGCAAUCGAUAGUCCUAGAGAUACAGUAGUUCAGAACUUAGUUUAGCCAUGUGUAAUACCUGGUCUGAGUACAGUUAUGGCACUGCACUCUGGCUUGGUAUGUCUUACUUGACAAAGAAAAUAUCUUGCAUCUCUUUUACUUUAUAUUUUGUUUCAGUAUAAAGGCAAGUUAAGAUUGGUUUGCAAUAAAUUUUCAUUUUAUGAUAAUACAAGGCAAGACAGCUCAGUGUAAGUUCUUUUUGUCCUAUUGCUAUUGUAUUUGAUGUAGCUACAUGUCCUAAGGGGACAAUAUUUGAUCAAAUUUAUGCUUUGCUCAAGUCAAUGGACAAACUUCAGUUGAUCCUGGAGCUGUCUUUCACUUUGAAAAAAAAAAUCAGGUAUAUCUUGGGCAUAGGUAAUGCAAUUUUUUGCACCACAUACAUUUUCAUUUCAUUUUUGCCAACCAUAACAAAAUAUGUGUGCUCUUCACUUUGAACCACAUGGGAAGAUCUCAUGUCUUUGAGUCUAAAUAACUGUAAUAAUAAUAAAUCUGUCUUAGGUCCAGUUCAACUAUCAUGUACUGGGUGGACAGGGUAUGGGUGGACAAAUGGAAAGGGACCAUUUUAAAGCACUAUACUGACUUCAUUUUUAUUGCCCUUGAAUGUUUUUAACAAGUGGCUUAUAAAAAAAUAUGCCACACAUUUAAUCACAAGUGAAAGUAAAUAAAUAGACCUAUGUGACCUGUUUUAAUGUACAAAGAAAUCUUAAUAUAUUAUAGGGCAAGGUAUAACCUGUCUUCUGUGGGUGAAUUUUGUUCUCAUUUAUUGACUGCUGUCAAACAAAUCUUCUCUGGCAUUCAGGCUUCCAUAAAUACUGUUCACUGUAGAUAGAAAGAAACUUUGGCCCUUAAGGGGGCCAAGUAAGUUUUAUUUUCAGAUUAGCUACCAUUCUGUCUUGUUUCCCCUCUUCCCAUAAAUCAAUUAUUGAGGGCUAUUUAAUUAAGAACAGAUUAGAAACAUUGUCAUUGUUGUUCUUUAAAUUUCCUUUGUACUGAAGUGCUACAGAGUUAAAACCCCAAGCACGAAAGUGCACAGCCAUCCAUGACUAACAGCAUACAGCAAAUACCAAGCUCUAUGAUCAAAAAUGAAAGCUAGUGCUGUUCAUGUGGAAUAAUAGAAAUCAUACCACCAUGACACUUCAUACACAUCUGAACUACCAAUGCACACACACUUGCUCAGCCCGUAAGAUGCCUCAGGAAUGCAGCUGCAACACAGUCAGAAACCUGCACAAGAGGUAAAUACCCAGAGGGAGGCUGCUUCCCUUAUCUUACACGGAUGGUUCGUCGGCUGCAGAGAAGGAAGGCAAGAGCUACUCAGGACAUCCUUCUUGCAGCUCUGUGGAGGUAUCCUUGGGGUGCUACAGCAAACAUCGGUGCUGAUCGCUGCUGCUCUAGGUGUAGCUCGGUGCUGAUAACUUCCUGUGUUUCAGUGAGAAGAUGACCAAGGACAGUCACCAGCCUUUCCCAUCUGUUGCAGAACAACGUCUCCCCAAAGAGUACAGAAUUAUGCAAUGUGGUACUCAGGGCUCUGUCAAGUCCCUGUCUUCACUGUCAUUAAAAAUAACCUUCCAACCACCGCUGGUUUUUCUUUGGGGUUGCAAUUGCCAUUCUUAAUUGAGCAGAGAAAGAAAAUUGUAUCUGCUCACAAAUGAGAGUGGAGAAACCCUGUGUGUUUCAGGGAGAAGAUAGAUUUUACAAGUGUAUUCUCUGCACUGUGUUUUGAAACAAAUAAGAAAAAUCACCAAUCCUCUGCCCGUUAGCUGGAAAACAAAUCCAGCUUAAUAUUUUUGCUCAUCUCUCACUGCAGGAAGUGGGAAACUUUCUGCUGUUUCAUGGGGAAUUGGAGCAAGCCAGAGAGAACAAGAAAAACAUGCAGCCUCCCGCCAAUAAAAUGCAUGUAGUAAAGGACUGUCAGGGAGAUCAAGGGCCUCACAUACUCUUUAGGAAGGAUUUGAUUUCACUGUCAUUUCAAGCCACAGAGAAGGGAUUCCAUAAUCCUGCAGUCACCUGAACCAACUACUCCCAUUCUGACAUUCAAAACCUGCUGUGGCUCAGCCCCAUCCUCAUGUGUGAGAACAGAGAUAUGGAGAGGGAACAAGGACUCAUUCUGCAAAGACCCUCUAAAAAAAGCUGACUGUGAGCACCAAAUCUCUUAAACUUUGGCUUCAAUCAGGUGAAAUUAUACACUGGUAGAAUUUUUUUGCUGAAUUUGGUAGAGACUACAGCAGUGGGAUAACUUCAUCCCCACUGUGAAUGACAGGUAAACGCUGGGGUGCCUGCAGAAGGGCCACAGAGAUCAGUGUUUCUUCUCCAGCUCUGCGCCCUGCUGCUCACUGCAUUUGCUGGAAGCAGCACAUCUGUCCUUUUGGAAGUCGGUGCCUCAUGUGUCAAAGUGAGAACAGAAACUUCCAGAGCGUGUUGAUUUGUUGACAGGCCAGCGUGCAACUGGAGAUGAUAACUCAGAUAUAAAAUUAACCAUAUGAAUUCUCAUGCUUCGAGCCCUAUCAGAUACCCUCAUUCUGUUAUGGCACUUUUCCUAUGCAAGCUCUUAAUUCACUGAUCUCCAGAAGGUGUUGAAAAGAUUUUCUGAGAGGGUACCUGAGGGUCCUAUUUUCUCUCAAGCAUAAUUCCUCCCGAUUAAUGAUGAUUGUAGGUCUAGAAUAAUGAUAAUUUGUGUUCUGAGUCCUUAAAAAAGAGUUUAACACAGUGCUCAUCACAGAACCCACUGUUUUCUGCUAGAUAGGCACUGUUUCCAGCCUUAUUCCUAAGCAUCAGUGUGCACCUCAGAUCCACAUCAGUACAGCAUUCACUCAUCUAUAAAGUGCAGUGGGAUGCAGGAUAUGAUAGGUGGGAUGCAGUCUAAACAGGGAAAUAAACUACUCUUGGUGCUUUGCAAACAGAAGGUUGGCCAAUCUCUACCUCAGAGACAAUAUAAUCUAAAAAUAAUAACUAGAAAUGAUUAACUGCUGUCAGAAAAAAAACAACUCAGACACUCUAGAACAAAUAAGAGCUUUCUAAACAUAUUGAUCCUUUUUCAGUGUUUAUCUCCAGCUAACGAUUAAACAAAGUAAAUAUAGACAUUGCUUUGUUUCACAUGCCCAUAUUUGAAUUUGGGAAGCAAAAUCAGAAAAUAAAAGCGGCUGCUGGAGGAAAAACAAAUCAGUUUUCAAAUCACUGGGUCUAAGUUCUUCCCAGCAGCUUUCAGAUGCUGCCAGCUCAGACACAAGGAGGAACAGCUGUGAACCAACAAGACUGAGGAUCAGAGACGAGUCCACCGGCUGCUGCAACAUCUCUGGGUUUUCACUGAGAAACUUCUCAUGAGUGAGACACAGGUAGACAAAUGGAAGUCUCUGUGUUGGGACAGGAGCCUCAGAGUGCAUUAGUAGCACUGAAAUGACAUAAUGGAGUUCAGGUGCAGCAUCUUGAUGAGCUCUGUGCAAUGGUCUCGGUGCUCCCAUCUGUAUCGGCAGGGAGCAGGAACUCUUUCUUCAGAUUUAUGUCAGGAAAAGCACUGUCUUAGCCUUCAGUGGAGCCUCUUUGGAGAGGCUUUUAACCCGUGGCUUGGGAGGUGCUUUAAAACCACCAUCUGUAUGUGCUUUACCUCAGGCUGCACAAAACCUUCUGACUUGUGAUCAUGACAAUUAUGAGCCGGUCCUGCAUUUGGAAAACAGUCAGAAGUCCUGCUAUUAAAUGACGUCCCCAAAAAUCUAUUAAAUGUUUCAAGAGUUUUGAGAAAAAUAAGAAGCACCACCACUUCCUACCUAGAUGGAGUGAGAAUCAAGCAUGACUUUGACCAGCAAUGAGACGGUGAACAUUUCACAGAGAUGACCUUGCUUUGCCAUUGUCUUGAAUGGAAGGAGCCGGAUGAGCCGCCUUGAGGUCAGGCAGGGUGGCAUGCAUUUGGCUGCCAUUUGUCCAUUCAGAGGUCUCCUGCAUGUACGGGUGCAAGCUACCAUCAGUGCAAUCAUGAAAUAAUUAGAGAAUUACUGGAUGCAUUUUUGUGGUUGUGACUUGGGAAUGGCAUCAUGUUGGCAUUGUGCCUGAACACUAUGCACUAUUGCUGACACCAGUGCUUGAACAAAAAGGUUUGCCAUUCCUGCUGCUGAACAUGGGAAGCUUUCUUCCUGCUGUGGGUGACAAAGUAUCAACCUGUACCUUCAUCUUCUGAGCAAACCACUACAAAGCAAAGGGUUUCUCCAUAGUCGCUGGACUGGGAACACAUGCAGAGGUGCUGCUAGUGCCAAAGAGACCAUACUGCCAGUCUCCAUGUCACAUCCUCCCAGCAAGCUCAGCCUCCUGCCUUGAGGAGCGACUCAUCAAGGAACCUGUUUGUCCUUUCUUUUGCUCUUGUUGCCCAUGGGAGGCGAUGGUAAUGCCAUUCGUAUUCUGCAUACUGGAAGGUACUGCCACAGAACAGACCAAGCCUGUUUUCUGAGCUUUUCUACCUGCUGAGAUGAAGAAGGAACAGAAUUUCUGCUCUUUCGGGCAGGUUAGGUAUCACUGAGAAAUACAGUGUGCAAGAGCUAACUAUUAUACUCUGCUACCUCACUAACUUGAGUCUGCCAGGUGCCAAACACCACUGGAAACCUCCCAGUUCUGUGGAAACUGACAGAGUCUGCAUGCUCCUGACUCUAUUGCAUAUCACAGAAUCAGAACCUUGAGAAAUUGCAGACUCUUAGCACAAAGGCUCCUUGGGACUGUGAAACAUACCCCUGAGAAAUGUGAAACAUACCCUUGAGAAAUAUGAAACAGAAAGAAGAACUCGUCAGUGUUAGAGACUGCUGAUUCUGUAAGAGCAUGAUACACACCACCCCACGAGCUGAAUCAAUGCCGCUGUACCUUGCACCAUGUCCUUACAGUGCUGCUUUCCUGAGUGAGUCACUAGGAUUGUGAUCCCUGGUUUACAUGCUUCUGAGACCUUGUGCAAUGUUGUCAGGACUGUUAUGCAGUUGGCAGUUGCUUUAUGUGUUUAUUGCAAGAGGUUUAUAAAAAUAAAAUAGUUGUUUUGGACAAAACAAAUGACAUACAUGCCAGGUUUGCCGCUGUAACACAGUAGGUUUGUAGAAGGCAGUGGCAUGGGGAAGGGAAGAUUGAACCAGGCACUGGCAUGGUAGCCAGACCUUCAUUCAUUUGUAAUUGCUUUUUGUGCUGUUAUUUCAACCCAUUCUUUUAGCUGUCUACCUGCAAGUGGUAAAGAAAGAGACGACACUGUCAUUGUGCACAUGAACUGAUGUGGUUUUACUGCAUUUGGCCACACACCGAAAUGGGAUAUGCUGGUACAGAGCGCAGCCACAGGUCUCAUCUCUGCUGCUGCUCCCUUCACAAAAGAAUAAUCUCCACAUAAACAGUUUUCCUACCUUGGCUUGAUAAGGUUGCAAUCCUACCUUUUGCUGUUGGUCAGAAUGCAGAGAUUAAAAACACUCAGUUGAUGCAAACGGUGGGCUGAUACAACACACAGAUGGGGUGUAGAUGUGCUUCACACAACAGAGAGCAGAACUGAAGGGGAACAUGUCGCCUGGAGGCAAGACGCCUCUUUAAUUGAUAAUGGCAAGGAAAAUCAAAUACCAUAUUUGCUUUUUCCUGGAGUAUAUUGAGACUGAUCAUAACUAACAUCUGUUCAUGUUAAGCAAAUACUUGUCAUGAUUUAAACUUCUGUUUGCAUACAACUCCGAGUAGUGCAUCUUAAAGUCAUACAUAUUCAUAUAGAAUGAAGAAUGCAUAAUGUCUGCAUAAAAAGAUAAGCUGUAUGACUAUAUAUGAAGACAACAACUACAAUUCUCACAGCACUGUCAUUGGUUAAUUUUAAAAUAUUCAAGCAUUAUUUAAAAAACAGUAAGCUGAACUUAAAACUACACUACGAAAAAUUGUAUAACUGAAACAAUGCUGACUGGAUUUCCUCACUAUUAAUCAAUUUUUUUUUUCUUUUUUUCUUUUUCUAACACUUCUGUUAAUUAGUUGUUGUUUUAACCUCCAGUAACAUGAUCAGAUUUCUUCUGCCUCUGGGCAAUUGAGUUAUGCUCUGAUCUCGAGUUCUAAGGGAAAUGUUCAAUUUUGUUUUUUUCCACAGUUGAAUAAACAGUACCAUGUAUACUA